RNA transcript from Suricata suricatta (meerkat), 1466 nucleotides. It is a transcript of the gene named lymphocyte expansion molecule, with no coding region annotated. NCBI's taxonomy places the organism in Eukaryota, Metazoa, Chordata, Mammalia, Carnivora, Herpestidae. The record is from RefSeq and is a predicted model, not a curated record. The transcript has 11 exons.
UCGCCUGGGGGCGCCCGAACCAUGGGCACCAAGUGGUUCAGCGGGGCGCCCUUCGGGGUGCAGAGCCUCAGGUUUGAUGUCUCCUCCGUUUACCCCAGUAAGAAGAAAUCCAACACCUUCACGGAGGCCCCCUAUUCCAAGCUUCAUUCUGUGGAAGCGUCCCACAUAGGCCCAGGAACCUAUGGCUACAAGGAGACCUGCUUCAGCAAGACGAAGCUCAAUAAGGAGGUGGGCACAGGCUGGGCCAGGGCCCAGGAAGCCACCCGGCUGACCUGGCUGCCCCACUUCCAGUACGAGGCCAUCAUGAGAGAGAAGCAGCUGCAGAAGGAGAAGCUGGGGCCCGGCUCCUACGACCUCAAAGACUUCCUAGAACAGCUGCAGCAGAAACCGUGCAGCACCCGGGGGCUGCUCAGCUCAGGGGAGACUCGCUUCCGAGAGCUCAUUGGGAACUACUAUCCAGGCCCUGGAAACUACGGGGUGAAGGGUAACCCAUACACGAAGCUGGAGGAGAAGGCCCAGAGCCGUUCUCAGGGCCUCAUGUGCAGGAUGACCAGCAAGCCGCCCCUCUCUGUUCAUCAGGGGAGUGGCCUGGCGCCAGGCACCUACUCCUUCAAAAGUGGCAUUGAGACCUACCUGGCACACUCCACGGGCACCCGUGGCCCCUACGACAUUUUCUCCGGUGACCGAAGCAAGCCCCAGCCUCAUGGACAUUACUCUCUGCAGAAAAAAAAGCCCAGGGAACUGAUGAACUGGCCGAGCUUAGUGGAAGAACUUAAUUCACGUCACAACAAGAAGCGUGGGGUUUUUUCGAAAAUGCCUCGCAACCCGGAAACCCCUACGGAAAGGAUUUACUGGGCCACCCUUAGCCAGUGCCCCCGAAAACUAGCCACGUCUGGUCCCGGUUCGUGGCUUCCUCCAAAGAGGGAAUGCAAGCAAGCCAACCAGCCACCGUUCCUGCUGUCUUCCAAGCGGAUGGGUGCCAAGGCCUACCAGAUGAUUCUGGGAAGCUGGAACCCCGUAGGUGUGGGCCGCUACCUCAACACCUGGCUGAUGGAGACGAAGGACACACGACAUCGGUAUCGGUCCCUAUACCUGGGUGGAUCCAAGCGCUACCCCUCAGACCCGGCCCGGGACAGGCUCAUGCAGGAAAGGAUCACGCCUUUUACUAAGGGGAAGCACCUUGCAACAGUGGAUUACAAUUCAGAUCCUACUCCUUAAAGCUGCAUAUGAAGGACAGCCUGUGAUGACCAGAGGGCCCAAAAGCCUGAAGACAAAUUUGGGAAUGGGAGGGUAUAAACUUGACAAAAGAUAUACAAGAUGUUUAUGCUGAAAACUACAAAAUACUGCCAAGGGAAAUUAAAGAAGACUUAAAUAAAGAAGAGAUAUACCAUAUUCAUGGAUCAAAAGGUUCAAUAUGGCUGUCAGUUCCUCCCAAGUUGAUCUGUAGAUUGAAGGCAACAUUAAUA